AUGCGUCGGCUUCAGCGUGCCGGCGCCCAGGCGGUUGCCGCUUUGUGGCCGGAUAUGCCGGCUCUGCGCACCGCCAGUCGGACCGCCAACUGGCUGGAAGUCGCUGCCGACCGUCUUGAGGCCUGGAAGGGCUCCUCGGCCCGGGCAGGAGCGCGCCGGGCCUUGGAGUUCGUCAAGGUGUGGUAUCCAGGGCUGGACCUGGACCGCCUGGCCGCGUUCCGGUCAGAAGCCCAGGCCGAACUAGAGGCCGUGGAGGGCGCCCUUAUCGAGCGUGCGGCGGCCAUCGCCGAGUACACGGACACCAGCAUCUCCGUGCCCGAGCGGGCUGAAGGCGGCGAGGAAGUACCGGCAGAGUGGUUCGGGAUGAACCCGGAGUAUGGCGAGGACUCGGCGGAGGUGAUCGACUCCAGCACUGAGGAGGAGGACGAGGCGGAGGCCGAAGGCGAGGCGGGGGUGCCAGAAGACGGAGCAGGCGGCCAGUCUCAGCUCGAUCGCGCCUCCAGCAACGAGCCGCGUCAAGAGAAAACGACUGCCGCCGGAGGCGAUCAAACCGAGGCCGCCCAGCCGACUGCCCCAGCACCUGACACCGCCAUCUCCUCCGAUCCUCCAAUCCCAGAUGCCGCCUCCUAG
This 630-nucleotide ribosomal RNA is filed under the name Triticum aestivum (bread wheat). RNAcentral's name for it is "partial small subunit ribosomal RNA". Lineage: Eukaryota; Viridiplantae; Streptophyta; Magnoliopsida; Poales; Poaceae. The record is from RNAcentral.